Molecule: long non-coding RNA, 524 nt
Organism: Musca domestica (house fly)
Lineage: Eukaryota; Metazoa; Arthropoda; Insecta; Diptera; Muscidae
Exons: 2
Source: RefSeq, a predicted model, not a curated record
AUUUAAUGUUAUUUCUUUUUUUUGUUAAAUUUUCAGAUUUUUUUGGUCAGCGCGUCAUGGACGUUUUUAGCGCUUAAUUUUGACCGGCCAUUGGAGGCAACUGCCAAUUUUUGUCCAGGAGAAUCUCGGCUUGUUAGACAAAAGACAUCAAAAAUGGUUUUUACUGCCAACUCACACAAGGCCAGUUUCCAUCAGCCAAACAAGACAAUCACGGGAACAAAUUCAAACACAAAUUGGGCAGCUGUUUAUCCUGGCGGGUUUCCAGAAAUUCCGGAUUUGCCAAAACUGAACACCUCCAGGAAGAAGUCUGGAGAAGCCAAUAUUUUUUUGUUCGGGGCUAUAGUUGGCGCGACUUCUAAACACAAACAACACAUAUUACAACACAAACCUUCCUCUGUAAAAUUUUCACUCUACUUACUACUAUUUCGUUCGCACGUACACAUAAAUUAAAUUGUCCAAAAUGAACACAAAUCAACACACCACAAUUUGACAUUAAAUUCAAUAAAUAUUCCACUGUUAUUUUA